AGCCGCGGUAAUACGGAGGAUGCGAGCGUAAUCCGGAUUUAUUGGGUUUAAAGGGAGGGUAGACGGGGGAUCAAGUCAGUUGUGAAAGGCUGCGGCUCAACCGCAGCUCUGCAGUUGAUACUGGUUCCCUUGAGUGCGGUUGAGGCAUGUGGAAUUCGUGGUGUAGCGGUGAAAUGCUUAGAUAUCAUGAAGAACUCCGAUUGCGAAGGCAGCAUACUAAGCCGUAACUGACGUUGAGGCUCGAAAGUGUGGGUAUCAAACAGGAUUAGAUACCCUGGUAGUCCACACGGUAAACGAUGAAUACUCGCUGUUGGCGAUAUAAUGUCAGCGGCCAAGCGAAAGCAUUAAGUAUUCCACCUGGGGAGUACGCCGGCAACGGUGAAACUCAAAGGAAUUGACGGGGGCCCGCACAAGCGGAGGAACAUGUGGUUUAAUUCGAUGAUACGCGAGGAACCUUACCCAGGCUCGAACGGCAAGCUGACUGUUAGCAGAGAUGCUUUCAUUCUUCGGACAGUUUGUCGAGGUGCUGCAUGGUUGUCGUCAGCUCGUGCCGUGAGGUGUCGGCUUAAGUGCCAUAACGAGCGCAACCCUUGCUGUCAGUUGCCAUCGGGUAAUGCCGGGCACUCUGGCGGGACUGCCAUCGCAAGAUGUGAGGAAGGUGGGGAUGACGUCAAAUCAGCACGGCCCUUACGUCUGGGGCUACACACGUGUUACAAUGGGCAGUACAGCGGGAAGCCACCUGGUGACAGGGCGCUGAUCCCGAAAACUGUUCUCAGUUCGGAUUGGAGUCUGUAACCCGACUCCAUGAAGCUGGAUUCGCUAGUAAUCGCGCAUCAGCCAUGGCGCGGUGAAUACGUUCCCGGGCCUUGCACUCACCGCCCGUCAAG
This 887-nucleotide ribosomal RNA is filed under the name uncultured bacterium. RNAcentral's name for it is "bacterial SSU rRNA". It matches the Rfam family "Bacterial small subunit ribosomal RNA", at positions 513 to 1401 of the family's 1533-position model. The record is from RNAcentral.